AUGGAGGUGUCGCUGACGCACGUCGCCGCCGGCAUGCAGUCUCUCAUCGAAGCCAACCACUCCGCCGCCGUCGUCGCGCACUCUUUGCAGAUCCCCGGCAACAAAUCAUCUCAUUUCCGACACGUGGGACCAUAUAUGUUCAUGGCGUUGGCCAUGCAGCAGCAGGUGGCCGAGAUGUCAUACACCAGCGUGAAUGGCACCACGUUGACAUACUACCGCGCCGAGAAGGGUCAGCAGUCAGCGAAGCUCGUUAGCCAACGCGGCAAAUGGUACACCGAGCAUGCGGUUGAUCCGGUGACCGGCCGUCUCACCGGCCGCCCCGUCCCAGCGACGAGGCCGGAGCACCUGCCCAACGCGACACAGCUCCUCGCCGCCGCCAGCAGCGGCUCGCCCGUGGCGCUCUGGGCCGGGUGGGUCCACUCUAGCGUCCAGGUGAUGGUCUUCUCCGCGCCCGUCGGCCAGACCGCCGUGGUCUCCGCCGCCAUCCCCGUCGACGUCCUGACGAUCACCAGCCUGGGAACCGCGGCCGAUCCGUCCGUGGACACUUACUACGCGAUCACCGACAAGCGCAGCGGCGCGGCGACGGUAUAUAAGCCUUUGGUCGGUGGGAGGCCCGGCCACGACGCGGAGCUGAUGAAGACCUUGUUCUCGGAUACCAACUGCACCGCGUCCGCCAUUGACAAGCCCAAUAUCGUGCUCCACAGCGUCGGGUCGGACCAAGUUGCGUGCACGAGCUUCGACCUCUCUGGAGUGAACCUGGGAGUCUGGCUAGUGCUCAGCAAGUGGAGCGGGGCAACCAAGGUCCGACAGAUCGGGGUGGCCGUCGUGUGCAUCGUGUGUGCAAUCACGAUAGUGGCGACCGUGGUGUGCUUCCUCAUGGCGCAGGUGUUGUGGAGGGUCAGGGCGCGGGAGGUCGCGCUGGAGGCCGACCUAGUGCAACAGAAGGAAGCGCUCCAGCAAACGGAGCACAAGAGCGUGAACAAGAGCAACGCCUUUGCCCGCGAUAGCCAUGACAUCCGCUCCUCGCUCGCUGCUGUCGCUGGACUCAUCGAGAUAUCCCGGCCGGAGACCCGUGGCAACACCAAUCUCAUCUAUAACCUCAACCAGAUGGAUGUCGGCACCAACAAGCUCUUCGAUAUACUCAACACAAUACUGGACAUGGGCAAGUUGGAGUCCGGGAAGAUACAAAUAGAAGAGGUAGAGUUCAGGAUGGCAAAUGUCCUCGAGGAAUCCAUGGACCUGGCGAACGUCAUUGGAAUGUCAAGAGGUGUCGAGGUGAUCUGGGACCCUUGUGACUUUUCCGUGCUCCGGUGCACUGCCACCAUUGGUGACUGUAAACGUGUCAAGCAAAUCCUCGAUAACCUUCUUGGCAACGCCAUCAAGUUCACACACGAAGGCCAUGUCAUGCUGCGGGCGUGGGCCAACCACCCCACCAUAAGGGGCUCCAUGAUCAGCACCCCGUCAAGGUUCGGCCCCCGCCGUCGCACCGGUGGGGUCUUCCGUCGGAUGCUUGGAAGGAGUGAGAAUUGUGCCGAACAAACUGACGGCUUGUCCUUGAAAAUUGAUCCCGAUUCGGUUGAGUUUUAUUUUGAGGUGGUUGACACUGGUGUGGGGAUACCUGAAGAGAAGAGGGAGUCUAUCUUUGAGAACUACGUUCGUCUCAUGGGAGGGGAGAUAAACAUCAAGGACAAGGAGCCCGGAGAAGCGGGAACGUGCUUUGGCUUCAACGUGUUCCUGAAGGCCAGCGAGAGUCCAGAGAUUGAAGACAACCUCGAGGAAGGGAGAGCGGCGCCUUCUCUGUUCAGGGAGCCCGCCUGCUUCAAGGGCGGACACUGCAUCCUCCUCGUCCACGGUGACGAGACCCGCCGGAUCCUGCACACAUGGAUGGAGAGCAUCGGGACGAGGGUCUGGCCCGUCUCGUGCGCCGAGCUCCUCGCCCCGACCAUCGACAAGGUGUGCUCCACCUUCGGUGCCUCGCCGUCAAGGUCGGCGUCGAUGUCGUUGCUGCACAGCGCAGGAGGCGGCGCCACGGAUCGCUGCUUCAGCUCCAAGGAGAUAGUCAGCGACCUGCGGAAUAGCAGCGGCAUGGCCGGCAACCACGCCGGGCACCUCCACGCCUUAGGCCUGCUAGUCGUCAUUGACGUCUCCGCUGGGAGGCUCCACGAGGUCGCCCGUGAGGCGGCGAGCUUGGCGAGGACCAAGCUCCAGGCACCGUGCGGGGUCGUCUGCCUGACGGACCUCAAGACCCCCUCCCAGGACCUGAGGAGGUUCAUGGAGGCGAGCAGCUGCGACCUCGAGUUGCACAAGCCCAUCCACGGCUCCCGGCUGCACAAGCUCCUCCAGGUCAUGAGGGACCUCCAGGCAUCCCAUUUCGAGCACCUGCACUUGUAUCAGUUCGAGAUGCCGGCGGCAGAUCAGACCACUGCGUCAGCGUCCGAGAUCACGCCCGCGGUGCCUAUGGGACCAGCCAAUGUUGGAGACGGCAAGCCGCUGGAGGGGAUGCGCGUGCUACUAGUGGACGACACCAUGCUGCUGCAGAAAAUCCACGAACCGAUGUUGAGCGAUCUUGGAGCAGCCGUGGUGAUUGCAGGUGAUGGCUCCGUGGCUGUGGCCAUGUUCACAGAAGCUCUACACAACGCUUUGCCCUAUGACGUGGUGCUCAUGGAUUGCCAGAUGCUGGUGAUGAAUGGCUAUGAGGCGACGAGGCGCAUCCGCGAGGAAGAAAGCCGCUACGGCGUCCGCACCCCGAUCAUCGCGCUGACUGCGAAUUCCGCGAAGGAGCGGCUGCGGGAGGCCGUCGAAGCUGGGAUGGAUCUUCAUCUCACAAAGCCGAUACCCAAGCCGAAGAUCGCAGGGGUUGUUCUUGAGCUCUGCAAACAAGACAAGAACUGA
RNAcentral lists this ribosomal RNA (2892 nucleotides) under Triticum aestivum (bread wheat). RNAcentral describes it as "partial small subunit ribosomal RNA". Lineage: Eukaryota; Viridiplantae; Streptophyta; Magnoliopsida; Poales; Poaceae. The record is from RNAcentral.